GAAGAGGAAGUACAUAGUAUUGCUGAUUUCCAAUUAGUAGGAGAGAAAUUAUGUU
This 55-nucleotide transfer RNA is filed under the name Phyxioschema suthepium. Its description in RNAcentral is "tRNA-Gly". The record is from RNAcentral. Lineage: Eukaryota; Metazoa; Arthropoda; Arachnida; Araneae; Euagridae.